CUACGGGUCGCAGCAGUGGGGAAUAUUGGACAAUGGGGGGAACCCUGAUGCAGCAACGCCGCGUGGAGGAUGACGCAUUUCGGUGUGUAAACUCCUUUUAUAUGUCAAGAAAAUGACGGUAGCAUAUGAAUAAGCACCGGCUAACUCCGUGCCAGCAGCCGCGGUAAUACGGAGGGUGCAAGCGUUACUCGGAAUCACUGGGCGUAAAGGACGCGUAGGCGGGUUGGAAAGUCAGGUGUGAAAUCCUACAGCUUAACUGUAGAACUGCACUUGAAACUUCUAAUCUAGAGUAUGGGAGGGGGAGAUGGAAUUAGUGGUGUAGGGGUAAAAUCCGUAGAUAUCACUAGGAAUACCUAAAGCGAAGGCGAUCUCCUGGAACAUUACUGACGCUAAGGCGUGAAAGCGCGGGGAGCAAACAGGAUUAGAUACCCCCGUAGUC
This 439-nucleotide ribosomal RNA is filed under the name uncultured bacterium. RNAcentral's name for it is "partial 16S ribosomal RNA". It matches the Rfam family "Bacterial small subunit ribosomal RNA", at positions 339 to 795 of the family's 1533-position model. The record is from RNAcentral.